Molecule: ribosomal RNA, 590 nt
Filed under: uncultured bacterium
Lineage: Bacteria
Description: bacterial SSU rRNA
Rfam family: Bacterial small subunit ribosomal RNA
Source: RNAcentral
GAGUGGCGAACGGGUGAGUAACACGUGGGUCCCCUACCUCUUAGCAGGGGAUAACAUUUGGAAACAAGUGCUAAUACCGUAUAACACUAACAACCGCAUGGUUGUUAGUUGAAAGAUGGUUCUGCUAUCACUAAGAGAUGGACCCGCGGUGCAUUAGCUAGUUGGUAAGGUAAUGGCUUACCAAGGCGAUGAUGCGUAGCCGAGUUGAGAGACUGAUCGGCCACAAUGGGACUGAGACACGGCCCAUACUCCUACGGGAGGCAGCAGUAGGGAAUCUUCCACAAUGGGCGCAAGCCUGAUGGAGCAACGCCGCGUGUGUGAUGAAGGGUUUCGGCUCGUAAAACACUGUUAUAAGAGAAGAACGACAUUGAGAGUAACUGUUCAGUGUGUGACGGUAUCUUAUCAGAAAGGAACGGCUAAAUACGUGCCAGCAGCCGCGGUAAUACGUAUGUUCCAAGCGUUAUCCGGAUUUAUUGGGCGUAAAGCGAGCGCAGACGGUUAUUUAAGUCUGAAGUGAAAGCCCUCAGCUCAACUGAGGAAGGGCUUUGGAAACUGGAUAACUUGAGUGCAGUAGAGGAAAGUGGAACUCC